This 74-nucleotide transfer RNA is filed under the name Anaerolineaceae bacterium. RNAcentral describes it as "tRNA-Thr". It matches the Rfam family "tRNA". Rfam says of the family: Transfer RNA (tRNA) molecules are approximately 80 nucleotides in length. Their secondary structure includes four short double-helical elements and three loops (D, anti-codon, and T loops). The record is from RNAcentral. Lineage: Bacteria; Bacillati; Chloroflexota; Anaerolineae; Anaerolineales; Anaerolineaceae.
GCCACCGUGGCUCAGUUCGGUAGAGCAAACGAUUCGUAAUCGUUAGGUCAUGGGUUCGAAUCCCAUCGGUGGCU